GUGAGAAUGUUGGCAUGAGUAGCGAGAUGUGGGUGAGAAUCCCACAGGCCGUAAACCCAAGGUUUCCAGGGGAAGGUUCGUCCGCCCUGGGUUAGUCGGGACCUAAGCUGAGGCCGAAAGGCGUAGGUGAUGGACAACAGGUUGAUAUUCCUGUACUACCGAUAACCGUUUGAGAGAAGGGAUGACACAGUAGGAUAAGCUAAGCACACUGUUGGUUAUGUGUGCCCAAGCAUUGAGGCAGUCAAAGUAGGCAAAUCCGCUUUGAUAAUGCUGGGAUGUGAUGGGGAGCGAAAUUUAGUAGCGAAGUAGCUGAUUUCACACUGUCAAGAAAAGUCUCUAUCGAGGUUAAAGGUACCCGUACCGCAAACCGACACAGGUGGGUGAGGAGAGUAUCCUAAGGCCAGCGAGAGAACUGUUGUUAAGGAACUCGGCAAAAUGACCCCGUAACUUAGGGAUAAGGGGUGCCACCAUCAGGUGGCCGCAGAGAAUAGGCCCAAGCGACUGUUUACCAAAAACAUAGGUUUCUGCUAAGUCGCAAGACGAUGUAUAGGAGCUGACGCCUGCCCGGUGCUGGAAGGUUAAGGGGAUCUGUUAGAGCAAUCGAAGCAGUGAACUUAAGCCCCAGUAAACGGCGGCCGUAACUAUAACGGUCCUAAGGUAGCGAAAUUCCUUGUCGGGUAAGUUCCGACCCGCACGAAAGGCGUAACGAUUUGGGCACUGUCUCAACAACAGACUCGGUGAAAUUGUAAUUCCGGUGAAGAUGCCGGAUACCUGCGACAGGACGGAAAGACCCCAUGGAGCUUUACUGUAGCUUGACAUUGGGUCUUGGUACUACAUGUACAGGAUAGGUGGGAGGCUUUGAAACCAGGACGCCAGUUUUGGCGGAGCCAUCCUUGGGAUACCACCCUUGUAGUACUGGGACUCUAACCAUAGGCCAUGAAUCUGGUCUUGGGACACUGUCAGGUGGGCAGUUUGACUGGGGCGGUCGCCUCCCAAAAGGUAACGGAGGCGCUCAAAGG
RNAcentral lists this ribosomal RNA (1019 nucleotides) under Clostridioides difficile. RNAcentral describes it as "partial 23S ribosomal RNA". It matches the Rfam family "Bacterial large subunit ribosomal RNA", at positions 1288 to 2316 of the family's 2925-position model. Lineage: Bacteria; Bacillati; Bacillota; Clostridia; Peptostreptococcales; Peptostreptococcaceae. The record is from RNAcentral.